UACGUAGGUCCCGAGCGUUGUCCGGAUUUACUGGGCGUAAAGCGUGCGCAGGCGGCCCGUUAAGACAGGUGUGAAAUCCCUGGGCUCAACCUAGGAAUUGCGCUUGUGACUGGCGGGCUCGAGUACGGUAGAGGGGGGUGGAAUUCUUGGUGUAGCAGUGAAAUGCGUAGAGAUCAGGAGGAACACCGAUGGCGAAGGCAGCCCCCUGGGCCUGUACUGACGCUCAUGCACGAAAGCGUGGGGAGCAAACAGG
This 253-nucleotide ribosomal RNA is filed under the name uncultured microorganism. RNAcentral's name for it is "partial 16S ribosomal RNA". It matches the Rfam family "Bacterial small subunit ribosomal RNA", at positions 524 to 776 of the family's 1533-position model. The record is from RNAcentral.